Molecule: ribosomal RNA, 450 nt
Filed under: uncultured bacterium
Lineage: Bacteria
Description: partial 16S ribosomal RNA
Rfam family: Bacterial small subunit ribosomal RNA
Source: RNAcentral
GUGGGGAAUCUUCCGCAAUGGACGAAAGUCUGACGGAGCAACGCCGCGUGAGUGAAGAAGGUUUUCGGAUCGUAAAGCUCUUUCGUUAGGGACGAACGUGCUCUUUGUGAAUAAUGAGGAGUAAUGACGGUACCUAAAUAAGAAGCCACGGCUAACUACGUGCCAGCAGCCGCGGUAAUACGUAGGUGGCAAGCGUUGUCCGGAAUUAUUGGGCGUAAAGCGCGCGCAGACGGGAUAUCAAGUCUGUCUUAAAAGUGCGAGGCUCAACCUCGUGAGGGGACAGAAACUGGUAUUCUUGAGUGUCGGAGAGGAAAGUGGAAUUCCAAGUGUAGCGGUGAAAUGCGUAGAGAUUUGGAAGAACACCAGUGGCGAAGGCGACUUUCUGGACGAUGUCUGACGCUGAGGCGCGAAAGCUAGGGGAGCGAACGGGAUUAGAUACCCGUGUAGUCC